Molecule: ribosomal RNA, 261 nt
Filed under: uncultured Actinomyces sp.
Lineage: Bacteria; Bacillati; Actinomycetota; Actinomycetes; Actinomycetales; Actinomycetaceae
Description: partial 16S ribosomal RNA
Rfam family: Bacterial small subunit ribosomal RNA
Source: RNAcentral
AGCUACAGGCGCGACGGGUAGCCGGCCUGAGAGGUGACCGGCCACACUGGGACUGAGACACGGCCCAGACUCCUACGGGAGGCAGCAGUGGGGAAUCUUGCGCAAUGGGCGAAAGCCUGACGCAGCGACGCCGCGUGAGGGAUGAAGGCCUUCGGGUUGUAAACCUCUUUCAGGAGGGAAGAAGCGCAAGGGACCGUACAUCCAGAAGAAGCGCCGGCUACCUACGAGCAGCACCCGCGGACUACGUGCCAGCAGCCGCGG